GACGCUGGCGGCAUGCCUAACNCAUGCAAGUCGAACGGAGAUAAGAGCUUCGGUUUUUAUCUUAGUGGCGGACGGGUGAGUAACGCGUGAGCAACCUGCCUUUCAGAGGGGGAUAACAUUGGGAAACCGGUGCUAAUACCGCAUAAUGUAGUCUGAUUGCAUGUUUGGACUACCAAAGAUUUAUCGCUGAAAGAUGGGCUCGCGUCUGAUUAGAUAGUUGGUGAGGUAACGGCUCACCAAGUCGACGAUCAGUAGCCGGACUGAGAGGUUGAACGGCCACAUUGGAACUGAGAAACGGUCCAGACUCCUACGGGAGGCAGCAGUGGGGAAUAUUGGGCAAUGGGCGAAAGCCUGACCCAGCGACGCCGCGUGAAGGAAGAAGGUCUUCGGAUUGUAAACUUCUGACGACAGGGAAGAACCAAUGACGGUACCUGUUGAGAAAGCCACGGCUAACUACGUG
Molecule: ribosomal RNA, 460 nt
Filed under: uncultured bacterium
Lineage: Bacteria
Description: bacterial SSU rRNA
Rfam family: Bacterial small subunit ribosomal RNA
Source: RNAcentral